Molecule: ribosomal RNA, 811 nt
Filed under: uncultured bacterium
Lineage: Bacteria
Description: bacterial SSU rRNA
Rfam family: Bacterial small subunit ribosomal RNA
Source: RNAcentral
AGAGUUUGAUCAUGGCUCAGAACGAACGCUGGCGGCGUGGAUAAGACAUGCAAGUCGAACGAGAUUUUUUCCUGUAGCAAUACAGGGAAAAGUCUAGUGGCGAACGGGUGCGUAACACGUGGGCAAUCUGCCUUAAAGUGGGGGGAUAGCUCGGCGAAAGCCGAAUUAAUACCGCAUGUGAUCAGGGGAGACAUCUUCCCGAAAUCAAAAGUGGCGCAAGCUACUGCUUUUUGAGGAGCCCGCGGCCUAUCAGCUAGUUGGCGAGGUAACGGCUCACCAAGGCUUUGACGGGUAGCUGGUCUGAGAGGACGACCAGUCACACUGGAACUGAGACACGGUCCAGACACCUACGGGUGGCAGCAGUCGAGAAUUUUUCUCAAUGGGGGAAACCCUGAAGGAGCGACGCCGCGUGGAGGAUGAAGGUCUUCGGGUUGUAAACUCCUGUCAUUUGGGAACAAGUGUCGGUACCUAACUGCUACCGGCUUGAUAGUACCAGAAGAGGAAGGGACGGCUAACUCUGUGCCAGCAGCCGCGGUAAUACAGAGGUCUCAAGCGUUGUUCGGAUUCAUUGGGCGUAAAGGGUGUGUAGGUGGCGCCGUAAGUCGGGUGUGAAAUUUCGGAGCUUAACUCCGAAACUGCAUUCGAUACUGCGGUGCUUGAGGACUGGAGAGGAGACUGGAAUUCAUGGUGUAGCAGUGAAAUGCGUAGAGAUCAUGAGGAAGACCAGUGGCGAAGGCGGGUCUCUGGACAGUUCCUGACACUGAGACACGAAGGCCAGGGGAGCAAACGGGAUUAGAUACCCUAGUAGUCC